Molecule: ribosomal RNA, 449 nt
Filed under: uncultured bacterium
Lineage: Bacteria
Description: bacterial SSU rRNA
Rfam family: Bacterial small subunit ribosomal RNA
Source: RNAcentral
ACUCCUACGGGAGGCAGCAGUGGGGAAUCUUAGACAAUGGGCGCAAGCCUGAUCUAGCCAUGCCGCGUGAGUGAUGAAGGCCUUAGGGUCGUAAAGCUCUUUCGCCAGAGAUGAUAAUGACAGUAUCUGGUAAAGAAACCCGGCUAACUCCGUGCCAGCAGCCGCGGUAAUACGGAGGGGGUUAGCGUUGUUCGGAAUUACUGGGCGUAAAGCGCGCGUAGGCGGAUCAGAAAGUUGGGGGUGAAAUCCCGGGGCUCAACCUCGGAACUGCCUUCAAAACUCCUAGUCUAGAGUUCGAGAGAGGUGAGUGGAACUCCGGAGUGUAGAGGUGAAAUUCGUAGAUAUUCGGAAGAACACCAGUGGCGAAGGCGGCUCACUGGCUCGAUACUGACGCUGAGGUGCGAAAGUGUGGGGAGCAAACGAGGAUUAGAUACCCUGGUAGCGACUGA